RNAcentral lists this long non-coding RNA (245 nucleotides) under Phaseolus vulgaris (common bean). RNAcentral's name for it is "long non-coding RNA (PVUL_LNC001170)". Lineage: Eukaryota; Viridiplantae; Streptophyta; Magnoliopsida; Fabales; Fabaceae. The record is from RNAcentral.
GUGGAGUGUGGCAGCGAUAGAUUGAGCGGUGGUCGCGGGUUGCAGUGGAUCUAGUGGUGUCGCGUUGCAGGUUUCUAUAGGUGGUGGUUGCGUCGCAGGUUGCUGUAGGUGGUGGUCGCGUCGCGAGUUGCUGCAGGUGGUGGCGUCGCGGGUUGCUGCAAGUGGUGGCGUCGCGGUGGUGCGUUGCGGUGGUCGCGUCGGAGUGUUCGUCGGACUCGUGGGUUGUUGCUGCUCAUCAUAUAAGG